RNAcentral lists this transfer RNA (76 nucleotides) under hydrothermal vent metagenome. Its description in RNAcentral is "tRNA-Glu-TTC". It matches the Rfam family "tRNA". From Rfam's summary of the family: Transfer RNA (tRNA) molecules are approximately 80 nucleotides in length. Their secondary structure includes four short double-helical elements and three loops (D, anti-codon, and T loops). The record is from RNAcentral.
GCCCCCAUCGUCCAGCGGCCUAGGACUCCGCCCUUUCAAGGCGGCAACGGGGAUUCGAAUUCCCCUGGGGGCACAA